RNAcentral lists this ribosomal RNA (256 nucleotides) under uncultured bacterium. RNAcentral describes it as "partial 16S ribosomal RNA". It matches the Rfam family "Bacterial small subunit ribosomal RNA", at positions 524 to 777 of the family's 1533-position model. The record is from RNAcentral.
GACAGAGGGUGCAAACGUUUGUUCGGAAUUACUGGGCGUAAAGCGCGUGUAGGCGGCUAUGUAAGUCGGGCGUGAAAUCCCACGGCUCAACCGUGGAAGUGCACCCGAAACUGCGUAGCUAGAGUCCUGGAGAGGAAGGUGGAAUGCUUGGUGUAGAGGUGAAAUUCGUAGAUAUCAAGCGGAACACCGGUGGCGAAGGCGGCCUUCUGGACAGUGACUGACGCUGAGACGCGAAAGCGUGGGGGAGCAAACAGGA